AAUAGAUACCCUGGUAGUCCACGCCGUAAACGAUGAGUGCUAAGUGUUAGAGGGUUUCCGCCCUUUAGUGCUGCAGCUAACGCAUUAAGCACUCCGCCUGGGGAGUACGGUCGCAAGACUGAAACUCAAAGGAAUUGACGGGGGCCCGCACAAGCGGUGGAGCAUGUGGUUUAAUUCGAAGCAACGCGAAGAACCUUACCAGGUCUUGACAUCCUCUGACAACUCUAGAGAUAGAGCGUUCCCCUUCGGGGGACAGAGUGACAGGUGGUGCAUGGUUGUCGUCAGCUCGUGUCGUGAGAUGUUGGGUUAAGUCCCGCAACGAGCGCAACCCUUGAUCUUAGUUGCCAGCAUUUAGUUGGGCACUCUAAGGUGACUGCCGGUGACAAACCGGAGGAAGGUGGGGAUGACGUCAAAUCAUCAUGCCCUUAUGACCUGGGCUACACACGUGCUACAAUGGAUGGUACAAAGGGCUGCAAGACCGCGAGGUCAAGCCAAUCCCAUAAAACCAUUCUCAGUUCGGAUUGU
This 525-nucleotide ribosomal RNA is filed under the name uncultured bacterium. RNAcentral describes it as "bacterial SSU rRNA". It matches the Rfam family "Bacterial small subunit ribosomal RNA", at positions 777 to 1301 of the family's 1533-position model. The record is from RNAcentral.